GAUUUAUAAUUUAUAAGAAAUUAUUUACUAAUAAAAAUUUUAGAUACAACUUAGUUCAACAUUUGUCAACACUCAAGUUUGAAGAUGCGUGUGAAGCUACCAGUUUCUGAUACACAAACUUUUUAUCACUGAUGAUUUGAGGUAACACAAUGGUAACCAUAAAUAUAAUUAUUUAUAGUAUUAAACUCUUCCACAAGAGGUCGCAGUAUAAUAUUAAUAUUCAUGCUAGCAAAAUUAUUAUUGUUUGUGAAAAAAGUGUUGACUGUAUUGUUUUUGUGUUAACUAGAAUUUUAGUGUAUUACCUUAUGAUUUUAAAUAGCAUUUAUGUAGUGCGAUAUUAUAUUAUUCUUACAUGUCAGUAUCGCGUAUGUCGUAUUAGAUCGAAUAAAGUAAUGUAAUAUUGCCAUAAAAUAUGUCGGACUUGCCUAAUAUAAUGAUAAUUAUGCAGUUAUACAUUUAUCGGAUUUACAGACAAGAAAAUAAAAAAUAAAAAUAAUAAUGUUGCCACUGUCAAAAUAAAUCGGAUUUAGCCAAAUAAAUAAUGAAAUAUGCCAAAAACUAAAAUAUUCCUACCCAUUAAUAUCGAUAUAUCGGUGAUCAAUUCGCUACACGAAGAUGUUAUAGUCAUGAGCGUGGAUGUUCUAUAAAGAAUAAGUAAUAAUGAAGUGUUUUAAAAGUAUGACAAAUGUCAAGGAAAUAGUCUUGACAAUGACCUGUGAUGGUGGAAAGGGGCUAUGGCAAAAAGGCAACCUGGUGGAUGCAAUGUAUAUACUUGAGAAAUUAAUAUUUGACCUGAUUUUAAAAAUUAAACAAGGCAAAUCAGGUUUGGAAAUCUUAAAAUAAAUAUAAUAUAUAAUCUAGCAAUAUACGAGUAAGUAUACAAUGAUAAUAUUUUUUUCAAAAUAUAGCAAUAUUUAUAACAUAAUAAUUGGCAGGAAAAAGGAUCGAAACGUAGUCCAUAAUUUAAAAAAUAGAGAGGCCUCUGAUGACAAGGAAGUCUUCGAUAUAAUUAUUAAGAUGACCCUUCCCACGAAAAAUGACUCCAUUUGCAUUAUUAAUUAAUGUAUUUUAAUUUAAGUAGUUCUAAACAAAUUUUAAAAUAUAAGAUUAUAUUCAUGUAAGUUAGUGUAUAAGAGUAACGCGAUUUUUCCUACUAACCAUUGUUUUGACCAGGUGAGGGGUUAUUUUAAAAUUUCUUUUAUUUGAUAUAUUUUUCAAGCUGGUGCUCGAAUUAUAUAUUCGAGAAGAAAUAGUAAAGCCAAAAGAAGUAUUUAAAUUGUAUUUUCCGCGCCUUUUAUAUUGAUUAUAAAGUAUAAUUUUUGGGAAAAUCUUCCAAUAAAUUUGAGUCAAUCAGUAUAAUAUUCGGUUUUUAAAAUUUAUAAUCAACUGUUUAUUUUGCUUAAUUUAUUAAAAAUUUUGUCUAUAUCCUUUAUAAUAAUUUAUUUAUGGUACCUGAGUAUAGGUUAAUCUAGUUAAUUAUGAAUAAUAUAUUUAUUUAUAAAUAUUAUAUUAUAUAUAAUUUUCACGCAGUGACAAAUAAUGGCCGACGCCGUGUAGGGUCAUAAUCAUUUUCUAUGAUAAGUAUAUCGUCAAAAAUUAUUAAAAGUAACUUUAAAUUAUACCAAAGAUAUGCAAUUGUUACCAUAAAUGUUACACAAGAGCCAGCAAAAAUACCCAAUUUACAAUAAAUUAAUUUAAAAAUCCAAAUGUUAUUUUGUCUUCUGUGCUGAAUUUUGACUUUUUUCAUAAAAGAAGUUGUCAAACUUUUCAAUAAGUUUACCUAAAAUUAUGAAUAUUUUUUAAAUAAAAAAUUUGUAACUACUUAAGCAAUGAGAGACAUUAUUGGAAUAUGAUUAAACAUUUUGGCUGGUUCUCUUAUAUUGUAAUAUAAAAGUAUAUUCAGUUAAGUAAAUACUAUCUUUGUAAGUAAAUCUGCCAAAAAAACAUAUUAAAUAACUAACAAGGAGAAUAUUUUUCUUACUAAGUCUCGGAGAUGGUGUUCUUUUAAACACAGCAUCCGACAUAUUCUUAAAAGGAAAUGUUCUGUAUAUAUCGUAGGGACUGAAUUUAGUAUUUUUCAAAUUAAUCUUGUCGUCUGUAUAUCCAUGUUCAGUUUUCAAGAAAGAAUUAGGUUUUUUCUUUAUGUAGCUUCUCUUAAUAACGGGCUGUAAAUCAUUCUUUUGAUUUUGUCCCAUAUUUAAUUGUGUUUUCAUCUUAUCACAUUGAUUUUCAAAACCAUGUGUCUUUUUCAACACAGGGCUGUUGUGUACGUCAUUCGUUAAUAAAUUUAGACUUUCAUCAUAAAAGUACUUGUUAUACAUUUCAAUAAGUUUACCUAAAAUGUUUAAUACGUUAAAGUAAUAAUUUAAUAGUUUUAAAAGAAGUAUAGUUUUUACAUUAUCGCUUAAAAAUUAAUUUUUUUUUUAUUUAUCUCAAAUUUAACAU
Daktulosphaira vitifoliae (grape phylloxera) is the source of this 2445-nucleotide long non-coding RNA. RefSeq lists it as uncharacterized. The transcript has 4 exons. The record is from RefSeq and is a predicted model, not a curated record. Lineage: Eukaryota; Metazoa; Arthropoda; Insecta; Hemiptera; Phylloxeridae.